GUCUAUUAGCUCAGUCGGUAGAGCACCUGACUUUUAAUCAGGGUGUCGGUGGUUCGAUUCCGCCUCUGGGCACCA
Molecule: transfer RNA, 75 nt
Filed under: Clostridioides difficile
Lineage: Bacteria; Bacillati; Bacillota; Clostridia; Peptostreptococcales; Peptostreptococcaceae
Description: tRNA-Lys(ttt)
Rfam family: tRNA (bases 7-64)
About the family: Transfer RNA (tRNA) molecules are approximately 80 nucleotides in length. Their secondary structure includes four short double-helical elements and three loops (D, anti-codon, and T loops). Further hydrogen bonds mediate the characteristic L-shaped molecular structure. tRNAs have two regions of fundamental functional importance: the anti-codon, which is responsible for specific mRNA codon recognition, and the 3' end, to which the tRNAs corresponding amino acid is attached (by aminoacyl-tRNA synthetases). tRNAs cope with the degeneracy of the genetic code in two manners: having more than one tRNA (with a specific anti-codon) for a particular amino acid; and 'wobble' base-pairing, i.e. permitting non-standard base-pairing at the 3rd anti-codon position.
Source: RNAcentral